Molecule: ribosomal RNA, 539 nt
Filed under: Staphylococcus aureus
Lineage: Bacteria; Bacillati; Bacillota; Bacilli; Caryophanales; Staphylococcaceae
Description: bacterial SSU rRNA
Rfam family: Bacterial small subunit ribosomal RNA
Source: RNAcentral
UUCCCUAGAGAUAGAGCUUUCCCCUUCGGGGGACAAAGUGACAGGUGGUGCAUGGUUGUCGUCAGCUCGUGUCGUGAGAUGUUGGGUUAAGUCCCGCAACGAGCGCAACCCUUAAGCUUAGUUGCCAUCAUUAAGUUGGGCACUCUAAGUUGACUGCCGGUGACAAACCGGAGGAAGGUGGGGAUGACGUCAAAUCAUCAUGCCCCUUAUGAUUUGGGCUACACACGUGCUACAAUGGACAAUACAAAGGGCAGCGAAACCGCGAGGUCAAGCAAAUCCCAUAAAGUUGUUCUCAGUUCGGAUUGUAGUCUGCAACUCGACUACAUGAAGCUGGAAUCGCUAGUAAUCGUAGAUCAGCAUGCUACGGUGAAUACGUUCCCGGGUCUUGUACACACCGCCCGUCACACCACGAGAGUUUGUAACACCCGAAGCCGGUGGAGUAACCUUUUAGGAGCUAGCCGUCGAAGGUGGGACAAAUGAUUGGGGUGAAGUCGUAACAAGGUAGCCGUAUCGGAAGGUGCGGCUGGAUCACCUCCUUU